AUGGUAUACAGACUCUACCGGGCAAUGUCUUGAAUCCACUGCCACACAUUUUAAUCCCAUUUUCUAUACACAGGUGAAGGCGAACCCACAGCAGACUGCCAAAAUGUGUAGUAUGGAUUGCCUUUUCAAUGCGGUACGGUCUGUACUGCACAUCUUUAAGCGAUUCUUUGACAAGACAAAGGAACUAUAUGAUAGCCCCUUUGAGCCACCCAAGCGAGAAUGACAU
Molecule: long non-coding RNA, 226 nt
Organism: Heteronotia binoei (common prickly gecko)
Lineage: Eukaryota; Metazoa; Chordata; Lepidosauria; Squamata; Gekkonidae
Exons: 2
Source: RefSeq, a predicted model, not a curated record